RNAcentral lists this ribosomal RNA (514 nucleotides) under Capnella imbricata. Its description in RNAcentral is "eukaryotic LSU rRNA". It matches the Rfam family "Eukaryotic large subunit ribosomal RNA", at positions 402 to 987 of the family's 3401-position model. The record is from RNAcentral. Lineage: Eukaryota; Metazoa; Cnidaria; Anthozoa; Malacalcyonacea; Capnellidae.
AAACCGUUGAAAGGGAAGCGAAUGGGGUUAGCAAUUCGCCCUGCCAGAUUCAGUUGCCCGCGCUGCGCGACGUGCGCGCUCUCGAUCCCCAUGGACGCGAGCGUCGCACACUACGCGUCUAGGAUGCUGACGGCCAUACGGCUCCAUCCGACCCGUCUUGAAACACGGACCAAGGAGUCUAACAUGUGCGCGAGUCUCCGGGUGAUCGAAACCCGUGGGCACAAUGAAGGUAAAGAUCGUCCAAGACGAUUGAGGUGAGAAGCGGCGCCCCGGCGUCGCGGCAUCAUCGACCGACCUAUUCUGCUCUCAGAAAGGUUUGAGUAAGAGCGUAUCUGUUGGGACCCGAAAGAUGGUGAACUAUGCCUGAAUAGGGUGAAGCCAGCGGAAACACUGGUGGAAGCUCGUAGCGAUUCUGACGUGCAAAUCGAUCGUCGAAUUUGGGUAUAGCGGCGAAAGACUAAUCGAACCAUCUAGUAGCUGGUUCCCUCCGAAGUUUCCCUCAGGAUAGCUGGAG